Molecule: long non-coding RNA, 362 nt
Organism: Canis lupus familiaris (dog)
Lineage: Eukaryota; Metazoa; Chordata; Mammalia; Carnivora; Canidae
Exons: 2
Source: RefSeq, a predicted model, not a curated record
AUGUUCUUAGGAAGUAAAUACCUUUUGAAUCAGAAAAAGUGUUGGGAAACAAAAUACUUUAUGUAACUAAGUGGGCCCUUUAGAAGAGGGGAGAUCAUUUUUUGUACUUUGUUUUUUAAUGUUUACUUCAGAGAGCUAGGAACGUAAAUGCUUUCAGGUAGAAAGCCUUUAUUUUUGGGAACUGAACAAGAAAUGAUGCAUCUGUGUUGGGAAACCUUUUGCAGGUUGAUGCGGAGCAAAAUACAUAGUAAUUCUUUGCAUCCAGACCAUUCAGAGGAAGAGAUGCUCCAUUCUCACCUUUUUGCAAGACUGACCCCUGAGAGACAGAACAUGAGAGACUCCUAACUCUGGGAAAUGAACAG